CAGCACGGGGGCAACCCUGGUGGCGAGUGGCGAACGGGUGAGUAAUACAUCGGAACGUGUCCUGUAGUGGGGGAUAGCCCGGCGAAAGCCGGAUUAAUACCGCAUACGCUCUACGGAGGAAAGGGGGGGAUCUUAGGACCUCCCGCUACAGGGGCGGCCGAUGGCAGAUUAGCUAGUUGGUGGGGUAAAGGCCUACCAAGGCGACGAUCUGUAGCUGGUCUGAGAGGACGACCAGCCACACUGGGACUGAGACACGGCCCAGACUCCUACGGGAGGCAGCAGUGGGGAAUUUUGGACAAUGGGGGCAACCCUGAUCCAGCAAUGCCGCGUGUGUGAAGAAGGCCUUCGGGUUGUAAAGCACUUUUGUCCGGAAAGAAAACGCCGUGGUUAAUACCCGUGGCGGAUGACGGUACCGGAAGAAUAAGCACCGGCUAACUACGUGCCAGCAGCCGCGGUAAUACGUAGGGUGCAAGCGUUAAUCGGAAUUACUGGGCGUAAAGCGUGCGCAGGCGGUCCGCUAAGACAGAUGUGAAAUCCCCGGGCUUAACCUGGGAACUGCAUUUGUGACUGGCGGGCUAGAGUAUGGCAGAGGGGGGUAGUAUUCCACGUGU
RNAcentral lists this ribosomal RNA (611 nucleotides) under uncultured Burkholderia sp. RNAcentral describes it as "bacterial SSU rRNA". It matches the Rfam family "Bacterial small subunit ribosomal RNA", at positions 70 to 676 of the family's 1533-position model. The record is from RNAcentral. Lineage: Bacteria; Pseudomonadati; Pseudomonadota; Betaproteobacteria; Burkholderiales; Burkholderiaceae.